UACGUAGGGUGCGAGCGUUGUUCGGAAUUACUGGGCGUAAAGCGCGCGCAGGCGGCUAUCCAAGUCAGUGGUGAAAGCCCGGAGCUCAACUCCGGAACUGCCAUUGAAACUGUUUAGCUUGAGGAUGAGAGAGGUGAGUGGAAUUCCCAGUGUAGAGGUGAAAUUCGUAGAUAUUGGGAAGAACACCGGUGGCGAAGGCGGCUCACUGGCGCAUUACUGACGCUGAGGCGCGAAAGCUAGGGGAGCAAACGGG
RNAcentral lists this ribosomal RNA (253 nucleotides) under uncultured bacterium. RNAcentral describes it as "partial 16S ribosomal RNA". It matches the Rfam family "Bacterial small subunit ribosomal RNA", at positions 524 to 776 of the family's 1533-position model. The record is from RNAcentral.